UACGUAGGGGGCUAGCGUUGUCCGGAAUCAUUGGGCGUAAAGCGCGUGUAGGCGGCCCGGUAAGUCCGCUGUGAAAGUCCGGGGCUCAACCCCGGGAGGCGGGUGGAUACUGUCGAGCUCGAGUCCGGAAGAGGCGAGUGGAAUUCCUGGUGUAGCGGUGAAAUGCGCAGAUAUCAGGAGGAACACCGAUGGCGAAGGCAGCUCGCUGGGACGUGACUGACGCUGAGACGCGAAAGCGUGGGGAGCAAACAGG
Molecule: ribosomal RNA, 253 nt
Filed under: uncultured bacterium
Lineage: Bacteria
Description: partial 16S ribosomal RNA
Rfam family: Bacterial small subunit ribosomal RNA
Source: RNAcentral